Molecule: ribosomal RNA, 253 nt
Filed under: uncultured bacterium
Lineage: Bacteria
Description: partial 16S ribosomal RNA
Rfam family: Bacterial small subunit ribosomal RNA
Source: RNAcentral
UACGGAGGGGGCAAGCGUUCUUCGGAAUUAUUGGGCGUAAAGGGCGCGUAGGCGGCUAGACGUGUCAAAGGUGAAAUCCCUCGGCUCAACUGAGGAACUGCCUUUGAAACUGUCUGGCUUGAGGCCGGGAGAGGGUAGCGGAAUUCCCAGUGUAGCGGUGAAAUGCGUAGAUAUUGGGAGGAACACCAGUGGCGAAGGCGGCUACCUGGACCGGUUCUGACGCUGAGGCGCGAAAGCGUGGGUAGCAAACAGG